GAUGAAGAACGUAGCGAAAUGCGAUAAGUAAUGUGAAUUGCAGAAUUCAGUGAAUCAUCGAAUCUUUGAACGCACAUUGCGCCCGCCAGUAUUCUGGCGGGCAUGCCUGUUCGAGCGUCAUUUCAACCGUCAAGCCCCCGGGCUUGUGUUGGGGACCUGCGGCUGCCGCAGGCCCUGAAAAGCAGUGGCGGGCUCGCUGUCACACCGAGCGUAGUAGAUUUUAUCUCGCUCUGGGCGUGCUGCGGGUUCCGGCCGUUAAACCACCCUUUUAACCCAAGGUUGACCUCGGAUCAGGUAGGAAGACCCGCUGAACUUAAGCAUAUCAAUAAGCGGAGGA
This 337-nucleotide unclassified non-coding RNA is filed under the name soil metagenome. RNAcentral's name for it is "partial contains 5.8S ribosomal RNA, internal transcribed spacer 2, and large subunit ribosomal RNA". The stretch from base 1 to 120 matches the Rfam family "5.8S ribosomal RNA", at positions 35 to 154 of the family's 154-position model. The record is from RNAcentral.